Small nuclear RNA from Mustela putorius furo (domestic ferret), 107 nucleotides. NCBI's taxonomy places the organism in Eukaryota, Metazoa, Chordata, Mammalia, Carnivora, Mustelidae. The record is from Ensembl.
CUGCUCGCUUCAGUGGCACAUACACUAAAAUUGGAAUGUCACAGAGAUGAAGAGCGUGGCCCCUGUGCAAGGAUGACAUGCAAAUUUGUGAAGUCUUCCAUAAUUUC